AUUGCUUCUCGGCCUUUUGGCUAAGACCAAGUGUAGUACAUCUGUUCUUAUCAGUUUAACACCUCUUCACUUUACAGUCAUCAUUAACCAGCUUUCGGAAUGUCAUGGAGUGUUUAAACGGGAUGAAAUAUUCCCUGUAUAAUCUUAUAUUU
Molecule: small nuclear RNA, 152 nt
Filed under: Pogona vitticeps (central bearded dragon)
Lineage: Eukaryota; Metazoa; Chordata; Lepidosauria; Squamata; Agamidae
Description: U2 spliceosomal RNA (ENSPVIG00000003604.1)
Rfam family: U2 spliceosomal RNA
About the family: U2 is a small nuclear RNA (snRNA) component of the spliceosome (involved in pre-mRNA splicing). Complementary binding between U2 snRNA (in an area lying towards the 5' end but 3' to hairpin I) and the branchpoint sequence (BPS) of the intron results the bulging out of an unpaired adenosine, on the BPS, which initiates a nucleophilic attack at the intronic 5' splice site, thus starting the first of two transesterification reactions that mediate splicing.
Source: RNAcentral